UACGUAGGUGGCAAGCGUUGUCCGGAAUUAUUGGGCGUAAAGCGCGCGCAGGUGGUUCCUUAAGUCUGAUGUGAAAGCCCCCGGCUCAACCGGGGAGGGUCAUUGGAAACUGGGGAACUUGAGUGCAGAAGAGGAAAGUGGAAUUCCACGUGUAGCGGUGAAAUGCGUAGAGAUGUGGAGGAACACCAGUGGCGAAGGCGACUUUCUGGUCUGCAACUGACACUGAGGCGCGAAAGCGUGGGGAGCGAACAGG
This 253-nucleotide ribosomal RNA is filed under the name uncultured bacterium. RNAcentral describes it as "partial 16S ribosomal RNA". It matches the Rfam family "Bacterial small subunit ribosomal RNA", at positions 524 to 776 of the family's 1533-position model. The record is from RNAcentral.